AUUAAAGUAGCUUAAGGAUUAAAGCAUAACUUUGAAGAAGUUAGUAUAAAUUUAUUUCUUUAAUA
RNAcentral lists this transfer RNA (65 nucleotides) under Cobbenicoris guangxiensis. RNAcentral describes it as "tRNA-Phe". Lineage: Eukaryota; Metazoa; Arthropoda; Insecta; Hemiptera; Urostylididae. The record is from RNAcentral.